Molecule: transfer RNA, 64 nt
Filed under: Fischoederius cobboldi
Lineage: Eukaryota; Metazoa; Platyhelminthes; Trematoda; Plagiorchiida; Gastrothylacidae
Description: tRNA-Leu
Source: RNAcentral
CUAGGAGUGCCAGAAGUGUUAUGGGGUCGGUUUAGGACCGAUUUAUGGCUGUAGUCCUCUUAGU